Molecule: long non-coding RNA, 1889 nt
Organism: Myotis daubentonii (Daubenton's bat)
Lineage: Eukaryota; Metazoa; Chordata; Mammalia; Chiroptera; Vespertilionidae
Exons: 3
Source: RefSeq, a predicted model, not a curated record
CCCGCCCGCCGGGCGGGAGGUUGCGCGAGCGCUUUCUCGGGAGAUAGUCAACCGCCGGCCUGCCGGCAGGAGGGGACGCAGGGACCGAGUAGUAAACGGAAAAGACGUUAAAAACCAAGGGGCCAUGUGUGAAAGCGAUCACCGCCGGCCGCGCUCCUCUGGCUGUUACACUCAACCGGCUCAGCUGGUCUCCCGCCCCCCCCCACGGGAGGGCAAAAGCUGAGUGGAGGAUGCGGGCAUCGAUCCCGCUACCUCUCGCAUGCUAAGCGAGCGCUCUACCAUUUGAGCUAAUCCCCCGGCUGUGGCUGCCUCCCUUCCAGUUACCUUACACGUUGUUACAAGAUGUCUGCUGACCAAUGGAGAACCAAAAUUCAGGACAUUUAUUUAGCACCAGAGUAUGAGAGAACCAUAGGCGAAGCUUUAAAAGAACAUAGGUAGUGCUCAGGAAUUCAGUCUGCCUUCGAAUAAGCCUCCCACCGUCCAAGGUGGGUGGAGGUUAAAAAGAUUGGUCGAAGUCCUUCGAGCCGGAAUCGAACCAGCGACCUAAGGAUUGCCACAGCUCAUCCACUACAGUCCUCCGCUCUACCAACUGAGCUAUCGAAGGCCCCGCUGGAGAAGCCGUCCGCAGAUUGCCCUCUAAUACUUACCGAGGCCUCACUACCCCGGGAUCGCAGAGCUUUCCAGAGCCUGGACUCCACUUUCUAUAGAAGCUCACACGGGCCGAGCCCCUCCAGACCACACGCAACAAGAAAGGCAGAGACGAGUGAGAGCAAAGGACCCACUUCCCAACCCCGGACGGAGGAAACGCGGGCAAUACAUUUCCCUUCCGUUUUCCUGCUUCCCACAAAACAAUGCACCCCCUCCCGCCGCCGCUCCCGGUGGCUUCCGUAGGACUGCGGAGGCCUGGAGACCCCGCUCGCAACCCUGACCUUCUGGGCGGCAGGGCCCAGCGGGGCCGGCACCCUCGCACGCUCAGCAAUUGCAACGCGCCAGCCCCGUUCGCCAAGCCGACGGCUUGCUUUUGCUCUCUUUGCUCCCCAUUCCCCUUCGCUUUAUCCGGGGAAGCCAAUAAAACCCUACUGCUCUCGUGGUGGGAAGUACAUUCAUUCAGUCCAUUAAGCAACGUUUUGUCGGCUAUUCGUCCCGACUAGGGCAAGAAAGAUACAAACCGCAGAGCUGCUCGAGGUUUGCAGGGCGGCGCGGGAUCCAGCUGCCCCGAAACCCCGCGAGGUGGGACUGGCGGGCGGGGCCCAGAGGGGCCCUGGGCACGGCCACGUCCACCGGCCCCGCCCCUGCCCUACCCGCUGCUCACACCUUCACUCUUUCCCGGGGCUGCAAAGCCAGCCCACCAUCCUUUGCCCACCAGGAGCUCUGGGGGUUUAAAAACAAGGAACCUUGAAAACGAAAACCCAACUCUUGUGUGAAUUCUUGCUGGGUCGUCAGAUGGGGUGGGUGUGCGGGAAGACCUGACCUCCAUUUCCAGCUCCGUGGCCAGCUGCCUGUGCAACCUGGUGAUGAUUUCAAGCCCCGCACCGGUCCGACAUUUUUUGGGUUCUCGUGAGCUGUGCUUUUAAAUCCGAGGUCUGAUGCCGCUGAGCACAACACCUCUUUGCGCCCACCCACAAAGCAGGAUGGAUGUGUGUAUGAUAUGCUCAAUAAGGCAAUGGAGGCCUUGAUCAACACAGCAACUCGACCUGACAAGGACAUUCCACCCAACAGCAUCAGAACAUUCUUCUCAAGUACACACGAACACUCUCCAGGAUAGCUCACCUCAGGCAAGUCUCAACAAAUUUAAAAAGAUUGAAAUAAUACAAAGUACGAUGAAUGUAAACUACAAACUUUGGAUGACAGUGAUGUGUCGUAGGUUCACUGGCAUUGACAGUGGGUGA